RNAcentral lists this ribosomal RNA (857 nucleotides) under Lactiplantibacillus plantarum. RNAcentral describes it as "bacterial SSU rRNA". It matches the Rfam family "Bacterial small subunit ribosomal RNA", at positions 43 to 867 of the family's 1533-position model. The record is from RNAcentral. Lineage: Bacteria; Bacillati; Bacillota; Bacilli; Lactobacillales; Lactobacillaceae.
CGCUGCUAUAAUGCAGUCGAACGAACUCUGGUAUUGAUUGGUGCUUGCAUCAUGAUUUACAUUUGAGUGAGUGGCGAACUGGUGAGUAACACGUGGGAAACCUGCCCAGAAGCGGGGGAUAACACCUGGAAACAGAUGCUAAUACCGCAUAACAACUUGGACCGCAUGGUCCGAGUUUGAAAGAUGGCUUCGGCUAUCACUUUUGGAUGGUCCCGCGGCGUAUUAGCUAGAUGGUGGGGUAACGGCUCACCAUGGCAAUGAUACGUAGCCGACCUGAGAGGGUAAUCGGCCACAUUGGGACUGAGACACGGCCCAAACUCCUACGGGAGGCAGCAGUAGGGAAUCUUCCACAAUGGACGAAAGUCUGAUGGAGCAACGCCGCGUGAGUGAAGAAGGGUUUCGGCUCGUAAAACUCUGUUGUUAAAGAAGAACAUAUCUGAGAGUAACUGUUCAGGUAUUGACGGUAUUUAACCAGAAAGCCACGGCUAACUACGUGCCAGCAGCCGCGGUAAUACGUAGGUGGCAAGCGUUGUCCGGAUUUAUUGGGCGUAAAGCGAGCGCAGGCGGUUUUUUAAGUCUGAUGUGAAAGCCUUCGGCUCAACCGAAGAAGUGCAUCGGAAACUGGGAAACUUGAGUGCAGAAGAGGACAGUGGAACUCCAUGUGUAGCGGUGAAAUGCGUAGAUAUAUGGAAGAACACCAGUGGCGAAGGCGGCUGUCUGGUCUGUAACUGACGCUGAGGCUCGAAAGUAUGGGUAGCAAACAGGAUUAGAUACCCUGGUAGUCCAUACCGUAAACGAUGAAUGCUAAGUGUUGGAGGGUUUCCGCCCUUCAGUGCUGCAGCUAACGCAUUAAGCAU